AGAUUGAACGCUGGCGGCAGGCCUAACACAUGCAAGUCGAGCGGUAGAGAGGUGCUUGCAUCUCUUGAGAGCGGCGGACGGGUGAGUAAUGCCUAGGAAUCUGCCUAGUGGUGGGGGAUAACGUUCGGAAACGGACGCUAAUACCGCGUACGUCCUACGGGAGAAAGCGGGGGACCUUCGGGCCUCGCGCCAUUAGAUGAGCCUAGGUCGGAUUAGCUAGUUGGUGAGGUAAUGGCUCACCAAGGCGACGAUCCGUAACUGGUCUGAGAGGAUGAUCAGUCACACUGGAACUGAGACACGGUCCAGACUCUACGGGAGCAGCAGUGGGAAUAGUUGGACAAGUGGGACGAAAGCCUGACUCCAGCCAU
Molecule: ribosomal RNA, 368 nt
Filed under: uncultured soil bacterium
Lineage: Bacteria
Description: bacterial SSU rRNA
Rfam family: Bacterial small subunit ribosomal RNA
Source: RNAcentral